UCUAUAGUCCGUCCGUCCCAAAAUUCUUGUCUUAGAUUUGUCUAAAUAUGGAUGUAUCAAGUCACAUUUUAGUAUUAGAUACAUCUGUAUCUAGACAAAUCGAAGACAAGAAUUUUGGGACGGAGGGAGUACUAC
Molecule: non-coding RNA, 135 nt
Organism: Triticum aestivum (bread wheat)
Lineage: Eukaryota; Viridiplantae; Streptophyta; Magnoliopsida; Poales; Poaceae
Source: Rfam